GGGGGGGGGGGGGGGGGGGGGGGGGGGGGGGGGGGGGGGGGGGCGGAGGGGGGGCUUGCUGCGCGGAGGUGGGCGGCGGACGGGGGAGGGAGCCGUGGGGAAGCCACCUCUCCGAGUGGGAUCACUUGGGGAAGCCGGAGCUAAUACCGGCGGAUAUUUUGACCGGCAUGGUUCGAGCGUGCGAGCCGUUCUUGCGUGACCGUCUAUCUGUGUCGGCGCUGCGGUAGCUAGUUGGUAAGGGAAUGGCUUGCCAAGGCAACGGUGCCUAGCCGACCUCAGAGGGUGAUCGGCCACACUGGAACUGAGACAAGGUCCAGACUCCUACGGGAGGCAGCAGUAGGGAAUCUUCCUCAAUGGGCGAACGCCUGACGGAGCAACGCCGCGUGAGGGAUGAAGGUCUUCGGAUCGUAAAACUCUGUUAUUAGGGAAGAACAUAUGUGUAAGUAACUGUGCACAGCUUGACGGUACCUAAUCAGAAAGCCACGGCUAACUACGUG
Molecule: ribosomal RNA, 497 nt
Filed under: uncultured bacterium
Lineage: Bacteria
Description: partial 16S ribosomal RNA
Rfam family: Bacterial small subunit ribosomal RNA
Source: RNAcentral